CACAGCCACGCGGGCCGGGCCAGGGGGCGCCGGGCCUUUGGCCGCGUGCCCCUUCCCCCGGGAGCUAGAGCAGGAUCCGUGCGGCCUUUGGCCCUUUGGCCGCGUGCCCCCUGCAGCCCCGCCAACGACCCGCACGGGAACCUGGAGGGACCCGCACGGGAACCUGGAGGGCUGCCGCCACUGCUGGUGCGGACGGGGGCGGGGACCCUGCUGUGCCCGUGUCCGGAUCCCGGAUCCCGGGAAGGGGAACGGGUGUGGAGCCGGGCCACCCGGCGUCAAAGGGGGGGCCUUGAGCGUGAGGGGGUCUUGGGAGGCGGAGGGGUAGGGGCUGGGGAGGAGGCGGUGGCGGAGCUCACCAGGAGGAGCAGAGAGUCCGGGUCGGACAGGCCCCCGGUGGGAGCAGCAGCAGCACCAGCCAGCCGCGGCCUCCUCCUCCUCCUCCUCCUCCUCCUCCUCCUCAGCCGGGCCCCGCGCCCCGUGCCCCGCGCCCCCCGCCCAAAACCCGGCCCGGGCCCACCAAGAGGCUGUUGCCUGACACGGGGGGGGGGGGGGGGGGGGGGGGGACACACACCGGGCAGCGGCACUGCCACGUCCCGCGGCUUUCCCCUCUCUGGCGGAGGCCUGGUCCCAGUGCCCCCAUUUCCCUCUUCCCUCAGCCAAGUCGAGGCCAAGCCGCCGCCAUCACUCCCCCUCCACCCCGCGCCCCGGGCCAGCCAGGCCUCUCAGCUCGCCCCGUUCCCCUUUCUGGGCCACCUUCUCCAACGUCCCACCACAGCCCUCAGGGCAAGCACAGUCGAGGAACGGCUGGGUGACUCCCGCCCCUGCAUCCCAAAGCCAACGCCUGCUCCCGAGCUGGUCAUCAAGGGACCAGCGUGGAGCGCGUGCCAGAAGCGCCAGGCGCCUCGGGAUGGGACUGCCAACGGCCCCUUCGGUCCCGGUCCCGCCGGGACGCUGGGACUUCACCCCCGGGCCCGUCCUGCCCUGGAAGCCAGCGGGCGGCGGCUCCGGGGA
RNAcentral lists this long non-coding RNA (1011 nucleotides) under Canis lupus familiaris (dog). RNAcentral's name for it is "lncRNA (ENSCAFG00845017604.1)". The record is from RNAcentral. Lineage: Eukaryota; Metazoa; Chordata; Mammalia; Carnivora; Canidae.